Molecule: long non-coding RNA, 336 nt
Organism: Aquila chrysaetos chrysaetos
Lineage: Eukaryota; Metazoa; Chordata; Aves; Accipitriformes; Accipitridae
Exons: 3
Source: RefSeq, a predicted model, not a curated record
UCUUGCUGAAUCACAGGAAGAGACUUAGGCCUGGAUAGAUGUCUUUGGGAAAAGGAGAGAGUUGCAUAUUUUCAUCAGCUUAGAAUGUACUUCACCAAGAGGCAGGAGGAAGUAUUGACGUAUUGCUUCUGCCAUGAGCUCUUGAGGAAGUGACACUUACUCUGCUGUCAGGUCCAAGUUUGCCGACCUUGCCUAUGGCGAACUCUGCCUUGAAAGAUAACUGUGCAUACAGAAGGGCUGAGAGGUCUGAGCAGAAAAAAGAAGGUGGAUUCUGGAGUCCCUAGAGGGACUCUAGAGUCCUCUAGAGGAACGAAGGGACAGUCGUCUUUAUCCUCC